CUAUACAUGCAAGUCGAGCGGAUCAAUGGGAGCUUGCUCCCGGCGAUCAGCGGCGGACGGGUGAGUAACACGUGGGCAACCUGCCCUGCAGAUGGGGAUAACUCCGGGAAACCGGGGCUAAUACCGAAUAAUCAGUUCCUCCGCAUGGAGGAACUCUGAAAGGCGGCUUCGGCUGUCACUGCAGGAUGGGCCCGCGGCGCAUUAGCUAGUUGGUGGGGUAAUGGCCUACCAAGGCGACGAUGCGUAGCCGACCUGAGAGGGUGAUCGGCCACACUGGGACUGAGACACGGCCCAGACUCCUACGGGAGGCAGCAGUAGGGAAUCUUCCACAAUGGACGAAAGUCUGAUGGAGCAAUGCCGCGUGAGUGAAGAAGGUUUUCGGAUCGUAAAGCUCUGUUGCGAGGGAAGAACACGUACGGGAGUAACUGCCCGUACCUUGACGGUACCUCGUCAGAAAGCCACGGCUAACUACGUGCCAGCAGCCGCGGUAAUACGUAGGUGGCAAGCGUUGUCCGGAAUUAUUGGGCGUAAAGCGCGCGCAGGCGGUCCUUUAAGUCUGAUGUGAAAGCCCACGGCUCAACCGUGGAGGGUCAUUGGAAACUGGGGGACUUGAGUGCAGAAGAGGAAAGCGGAAUUCCACGUGUAGCGGUGAAAUGCGUAGAGAUGUGGAGGAACACCAGUGGCGAAGCGGCUUUCUGGUCUGUAACUGACGCUGAGGCGCGAAAGCGUGGGGAGCAAACAGGAUUAGAUAC
RNAcentral lists this ribosomal RNA (752 nucleotides) under Sporosarcina aquimarina. Its description in RNAcentral is "bacterial SSU rRNA". It matches the Rfam family "Bacterial small subunit ribosomal RNA", at positions 49 to 785 of the family's 1533-position model. The record is from RNAcentral. Lineage: Bacteria; Bacillati; Bacillota; Bacilli; Caryophanales; Caryophanaceae.